This 455-nucleotide ribosomal RNA is filed under the name uncultured bacterium. RNAcentral's name for it is "bacterial SSU rRNA". It matches the Rfam family "Bacterial small subunit ribosomal RNA", at positions 340 to 786 of the family's 1533-position model. The record is from RNAcentral.
UACGGGAGGCAGCAGUGGGGAAUAUUGCACAAUGGGCGCAAGCCUGAUGCAGCCAUGCCGCGUGUAUGAAGAAGGCCUUCGGGUUGUAAAGUACUUUCAGUCGUGAGGAAGGUGUUAAGGUUAAUAACCUUAGCAAUUGACGUUAGCGACAGAAGAAGCACCGGCUAACUCCGUGCCAGCAGCCGCGGUAAUACGGAGGGUGCGAGCGUUAAUCGGAAUUACUGGGCGUAAAGGGCACGCAGGCGGUUAAUUAAGUUGGAUGUGAAAUCCCCGGGCUUAACCUGGGAAUGGCAUUCAAGACUGGUUAGCUAGAGUCUUGUAGAGGGGGUAGAAUUCCAUGUGUAGCGGUGAAAUGCGUAGAGAUGUGGAGGAAUACCGGUGGCGAAGGCGGCCCCUGGGACAAAGGACUGAUGCUCAUGUGCGAAAGCGUGGGGAGCAAACAGGGAUUAGAUACC